CCCGGAGAAAGACUCAUAACCAACAAUAAACUAUAGAUGAAUAACACAACCAAAUGAUCUGUAUUUGAUCUGAUUACAAAAAUAUUAACAAACUUGAACCGAUAACAAUCACACUAGCUGCAGAAUACAACAAAUAUAAACUGCAAAAUGGAAGACAACAGAAAACCCAAAUAAGCUACCUAUACAGCCAAACCACCACUGACCACUCAAAAGAAAAACCUGACAAAAGGUUAGCCCAAAGUCAAUUUCUUCUCUUUCUCAUCCGUUUUUUUUUUUUUUUUUUUUUUUUUUUUUUUUUUUGCUGAUUUCUAAGCAGAGGAGUAACAAUCCUAUGUCAGAAGAAUGCCAAUUUCCAUCCUUGAAAAUGUUCUCUUCCUGAGUAUACUUUUCUUUGCCAAUUACAACGUGACGCACAGUCAUUAGGCAUGCAAGUUACCAUCUUAUAAUCAAUAACAGGAGAAAGGGAAAAAUAAAAAAAUAUAAAAAGAACUAAAUAACAAGGCCGAUGCUGAUUUAUGCCUCACUGAUUAUACAGGAGGAAUUUACCGUCAUUGUGUGUUGCGUGUUAACCCACCACGUGCCACAUGUCUUCCAGCAAGCAACUGAGCAGUACUGACAGGCCCUUUUGAAUUACCAAACCGCUUCGCCCUAUUCUCAUGUUCUUUCUCUACACGCAUGGCAGCCACUUCCUUCUCCAUCGCAGCUACUUCCCUUCUCAUCUUCUUAGCCUCCACUUCCAUUGCUUUAGUUAAUGUUUCUACCUUCUUCGCUAACAUCUCAAUUGCAUCAUCCUUAUCUUUGAGGCUUUGAUCUUU
Molecule: unclassified non-coding RNA, 815 nt
Filed under: Hevea brasiliensis (rubber tree)
Lineage: Eukaryota; Viridiplantae; Streptophyta; Magnoliopsida; Malpighiales; Euphorbiaceae
Source: RNAcentral